RNAcentral lists this long non-coding RNA (277 nucleotides) under Ananas comosus (pineapple). RNAcentral describes it as "long non-coding RNA (ACOM_LNC025058)". The record is from RNAcentral. Lineage: Eukaryota; Viridiplantae; Streptophyta; Magnoliopsida; Poales; Bromeliaceae.
CACCCUAAAAUUGUGGAAAAAAUUUAUGCAGUUUUCCGAAUAAUUCAUGUUAAUUUAUUUGAUAGCAGACUCUCGAUCGAUGCUAUUUUUUUUUAUUUUUUUUUUUAGAGAAAGAUAGUAUGGUACCCGUUUCGUUUAUUUUUUUAGAAAUAAGCUUAACUGAAAAUAUGAAUCAACUAGGAUUUGAACUUAAUAUCUCGGGUACCAACCAUCAGAUCUUUUGCUAUUCGAAGUUGAAUUUUAAUCUCAUGAAUGGUAAUGAAUAUGGUCUUAUAAU